UACGUAGGUGGCAAGCGUUGUCCGGAAUUAUUGGGCGUAAAGCGCGCGCAGGCGGUCCUUUAAGUCUGAUGUGAAAGCCCACGGCUCAACCGUGGAGGGUCAUUGGAAACUGGGGGACUUGAGUGCAGAAGAGGAGAGUGGAAUUCCACGUGUAGCGGUGAAAUGCGUAGAGAUGUGGAGGAACACCAGUGGCGAAGGCGACUCUCUGGUCUGUACUGACGCUGAGGAGCGAAAGCGUGGGGAGCAAACAGG
RNAcentral lists this ribosomal RNA (252 nucleotides) under uncultured bacterium. RNAcentral describes it as "partial 16S ribosomal RNA". It matches the Rfam family "Bacterial small subunit ribosomal RNA", at positions 524 to 776 of the family's 1533-position model. The record is from RNAcentral.